UUAACACAUGCAAGUCGAGCGGUAAGGCCUCUUCGGGGGUACACGAGCGGCGAACGGGUGAGUAACACGUGAGUAAUCUGCCCUUCACUUCGGGAUAAGCUUCGGAAACGGGGUCUAAUACCGGAUANGACACUUUCAGGCAUCUGAUGAGUGUGGAAAGUUUUUUCGGUGGGGGAUGUGCUCGCGGCCUAUCAGCUUGUUGGUGGGGUAAUGGCCUACCAAGGCUUCGACGGGUAGCCGGCCUGAGAGGGUGACCGGCCACACUGGGACUGAGACACGGCCCAGACUCCUACGGGAGGCAGCAGUGGGGAAUAUUGGACAAUGGGCGGAAGCCUGAUCCAGCAACGCCGCGUGAGGGAUGACGGCCUUCGGGUUGUAAACCUCUUUCAGUACCGACGAAGCGAGAGUGACGGUAGGUACAGAAGAAGCACCGGCCAACUACGUGCCAGCAGCCGCGGUAAUACGUAGGGUGCGAGCGUUGUCCGGAAUUAUUGGGCGUAAAGGGCUCGUAGGCGGUUUGUCGCGUCGGGAGUGAAAACACCGGGCUUAACUCGGUGCUUGCUUUCGAUACGGGCAGACUAGAGGUAUGCAGGGGAGAACGGAAUUCCUGGUGUAGCGGUGAAAUGCGCAGAUAUCAGGAGGAACACCGGUGGCGAAGGCGGUUCUCUGGGCAUUACCUGACGCUGAGGAGCGAAAGUGUGGGGAGCGAACAGGAUUAGAUACCCUGGUAGUCCACACCGUAAACGUUGGGCGCUAGGUGUGGGAUCCAUUCCACGGGUUCCGUGCCGCAGCUAACGCAUUAAGCGC
This 807-nucleotide ribosomal RNA is filed under the name actinobacterium KV-558. Its description in RNAcentral is "bacterial SSU rRNA". It matches the Rfam family "Bacterial small subunit ribosomal RNA", at positions 48 to 867 of the family's 1533-position model. Lineage: Bacteria; Bacillati; Actinomycetota; Actinomycetes. The record is from RNAcentral.